This 483-nucleotide ribosomal RNA is filed under the name Aspergillus fumigatus. RNAcentral's name for it is "eukaryotic LSU rRNA". The stretch from base 109 to 262 matches the Rfam family "5.8S ribosomal RNA". Lineage: Eukaryota; Fungi; Ascomycota; Eurotiomycetes; Eurotiales; Aspergillaceae. The record is from RNAcentral.
ACGGCCGCCGGGGAGGCCUUGCGCCCCCGGGCCCGCGCCCGCCGAAGACCCCAACAUGAACGCUGUUCUGAAAGUAUGCAGUCUGAGUUGAUUAUCGUAAUCAGUUAAAACUUUCAACAACGGAUCUCUUGGUUCCGGCAUCGAUGAAGAACGCAGCGAAAUGCGAUAAGUAAUGUGAAUUGCAGAAUUCAGUGAAUCAUCGAGUCUUUGAACGCACAUUGCGCCCCCUGGUAUUCCGGGGGGCAUGCCUGUCCGAGCGUCAUUGCUGCCCUCAAGCACGGCUUGUGUGUUGGGCCCCCGUCCCCCUCUCCCGGGGGACGGGCCCGAAAGGCAGCGGCGGCACCGCGUCCGGUCCUCGAGCGUAUGGGGCUUUGUCACCUGCUCUGUAGGCCCGGCCGGCGCCAGCCGACACCCAACUUUAUUUUUCUAAGGUUGACCUCGGAUCAGGUAGGGAUACCCGCUGAACUUAAGCAUAUCAAUAGA